Pelobates cultripes (western spadefoot toad) is the source of this 822-nucleotide non-coding RNA. The record is from the annotation of a GenBank genome assembly. NCBI's taxonomy places the organism in Eukaryota, Metazoa, Chordata, Amphibia, Anura, Pelobatidae.
UCAUUAUAUACACACACUGUAAAUAAAUAUUCAAUUAAUAUAAUUUUUUUAGGAUCUAAUUUUAUUUAGAAAUUUACCAGUAGCUGCAUUUCCCACCCUAGUCUUAUACUCGGGUCAAUAAGUUUUCCCAGUUUUUGGGGGUAAAAUUAGGGGCCUCGGCUUAUAUUCGGGUCGGCUUAUACUCGAGUAUAUACGGUAAGUAUGUAAUUACAUUUUCCAUAUUGCUGGCUAAUCAUGGCAGCAUCACUUAUGGAUAAUACCAAAGCAAAAAAACAUUGGAAGGGAGGAAAAACAAGUUGAAUUGAAUAGACAGAAGACUCUGAUUGCUGCAAAGGAAACCUAAGUUUUUUUAUGAGCAUUAACAGCCAACAAGACUUCUCUGCCAAAUGAAGUAGUCUUAGAAUGAAUGUCCAGUUUGUAGUUCUUAAUGAAGGAUGUAGGAGUGGACCAAGUAGCUGCCCUGCAGCAGUCAUCCGGAGGAACCUCUGCACAACUAGCCCAAGACGUAGCCAGGGACCUGGUGGAGUGAGCGCUGAUUCUGGCUGGACGAGUCAUCUUCUAUCACAGGUAGGAGUCUGUUAUGAUAGAAGCUAUCCAUCUCUGUAAGGUAGAGGAAGACACCGCUUCACCCUUAUGAAGGCCAGAAGGAAGGACAAACAAUUUGUUGUUCUUUCUGAAGACAGAAGUAACCGAUGGGUACUUGAUUAUAAGCUCUCACACAUAGGGUUCAUGGUAUCGCUUUUCCUCGGGAGAAGACGGGAAAGUAAAGGAGGAAGGGAGAACCACCUCCUAGAGUAGAUAAAAUCUAGAUACGACUUUACG